GAUGGUGAACUAUGCCUGGUCAGGUCGAAGUCAGGGGAAACCCUGAUGGAGGACCGUAGCGAUUCUGACGUGCAAAUCGAUCGUCGGAACUGGGUAUAGGGGCGAAAGACUAAUCGAACCAUCUAGUAGCUGGUUCCGUCCGAAGUUUCCCUCAGGAUAGCUGGCGUCGAUUUGGAACAGUCUCAUCCGGUAAAGCGAAUGAUUAGAGGCAUUGGGGCCGAAACGACCUCAACCUAUUCUCAAACUUUAAAUGGGUGAGAACUCCGGCUUACUCGAACGAUGAAGCCGGAGAUCUGAUGACGGUGCCAAGUGGGCCAAUUUUGGUAAGCAGAACUGGGGCUGUGGGAUGAACCAAACGUAGUGUUAAGGCGCCUAAAAAACGCUCAU
This 387-nucleotide ribosomal RNA is filed under the name Ectropis obliqua. RNAcentral's name for it is "eukaryotic LSU rRNA". It matches the Rfam family "Eukaryotic large subunit ribosomal RNA", at positions 822 to 1204 of the family's 3401-position model. Lineage: Eukaryota; Metazoa; Arthropoda; Insecta; Lepidoptera; Geometridae. The record is from RNAcentral.